This is an RNA transcript of Corylus avellana, 2660 nucleotides long. RefSeq lists it as uncharacterized. NCBI's taxonomy places the organism in Eukaryota, Viridiplantae, Streptophyta, Magnoliopsida, Fagales, Betulaceae. The record is from RefSeq and is a predicted model, not a curated record.
CUUGCUCCGGCCCCCUCCACCUUGUUUUAUUUUAUUUUAUUUUAAUUUAUUCCGAGUGUUUUUGGUUUUCUUUUUCUCUUUGCAUGAACUCAAAACACACCUCAAAAUCCACUCAAUCCCCAAAACCCUCUCUCCAUUUCUUGCUCUGAUUACAGUGACCCAAUUAAAAAAAAAAAAAAAUUCACUCUUUUGCACUUUCUCCAACUGGGUCUCUCUAUUUUACCAUGGAUUCCAGGAAUAUGAGGUGGGAAAGGGUCCAGCUCCAUCCGAAACACAGCCUGGGAGGAGCUCAACAACAGCAACAGCAACAGGUGGGUGAGAUAUCUGGGCCAGGGAAGAGGUGGGGUCACACCUGCAACGCCAUUAAAGGAGGCAGAUUUCUCUAUGUAUUUGGGGGGUAUGGGAGGGAUAACUGCCAGACAAACCAAGUACACGUCUUUGACACUGCUAAUCAGACAUGGAGCCAGCCUCUGAUUAAAGGCAUACCGCCCACUCCAAGGGACAGCCACAGCUGCACCACCGUUGGUGAUAAUCUUUUUGUAUUUGGGGGUACAGAUGGGAUGAAUCCUCUCAAGGAUUUGCAUAUACUAGAUACUUCGUCACGUACAUGGAUAUCACCAAGUUUAAGGGGUGACGGACCAGAGGCAAGGGAGGGUCAUAGUGCAGCCCUUGUUGGUAAACGUCUAUUCAUAUUUGGUGGCUGUGGGAAGUCUGCAGAUAACAAUGAUGAAAUAUACUACAACGAUCUUUACAUUUUGAAUACGGAGACAUUUGUAUGGAAACGCGCUGCGACCUCAGGCACUCCACCAUCUCCUCGAGAUAGCCACACUUGCUCAUCUUGGAAGAACAAUAUCAUUGUUAUUGGUGGUGAAGAUAGACAUGAUUAUUAUUUGUCCGACGUCCAUGUUCUUGAUACAGAUACUCUGAUUUGGAGGGAGCUGAACACUUCAGGCCAUCUGUUGGCCCCCCGAGCUGGUCAUGCCACUGUUGCUUUUGGCAAGAACUUGUUCGUUUUUGGGGGAUUUACAGAUGCUCAAAACCUUUACAAUGACCUCUAUGUGCUUGAUAUUGAUACUGGUGCAUGGACCAAGCUGAUCACUACAGGUGAUGGCCCUUCUGCUAGAUUUUCUGUGGCUGGUGACUGUUUGGAUCCAGUGAAGGGUGGUGUCCUUGUGUUUGUAGGUGGUUGCAAUAAGAGUCUUGAGGCUCUGGAUGACAUGUAUUACUUAUACACAGGACUUACCAGGGAAAAGGAAUGGAGGCUAGAUAAGUUAUCUCUGAGGAAGCAAUUGAAGCUAAAGUGUCAGGAGCAAAAUCUCACUCAUGCAAAUGACAAAGCUCUAGUUAGGGUUGGGAGGGACGCGGAUAUAUGCCAACCUAUCAUUCUGCCUAGUUAUGGCCAACCAGGCAAACAAGAUUUCCCAUGGCAUCAAUCCCAAUCUCGUCAAGGAAAGAAGACAUUUCAAGCCAAGGUUUCUGAAAACAUACCGGUUGGAUAUACUGUUGAAACUGUCAUUGAUGGAAAGCCUCUUCGUGGAAUAUUGUUUUCCAACAAGUCAAACUCAUACCAUACAGCUAAUUAUAAUUUAAGUAGGAAGAGGACUGCUGGGGAAGUUGGUGUUAUUUCAAAUGGAGAUUACAACAGCAAAUCAAAAGCUUCAAGAACUCCCAAGCAGGAUGUGAUAAAUCAUGGACAGGUAGACGGUGUUCAUGGAAAGGAGCCCACAUCACAUAAGCCCACGAAAGAAGCUGCCGCCGUUCCUGUUAUAAAGAAUCCAGCAUCUUCUGAUGCAUCUCAGCCCCCUAAGGUUGAUGUAAACCCAGAAGAGCCCGUGCUUCCCUCUUUGAAUCUGGAAGAUGAUCAGAAAAAUGACGCACCUAGUUCCAACAACGAAGUGCCAAGGGAGGAUAAGACAAAUGACAUUCCAAACUGCAAUACUGAAGUUCUGAAAGAGAACACAUCUACUGGAGCCAAGGAUGCUAUAACAUCAUUUCCAAGCCAAGAUGACAGGACAGCCACUACUGGUGAUCCAGCAAAAUGAAUUUGAAACCUUGGUCAAGCUUGACUUCUGAACAUAACCUAAACCACAAAUCACCAGCAAUUUGUACAUUCGUCGUUGCAAGGUGAUCAUAGAUGGAUAUGACAGCAAAAGAUUCAAUGGCUUGCAUCAAUGCACAUACUUCUGCUGGCCCCAUCUUUUCAAUGAGAUGUCAAAAUACCUUCAAUUGCUUUAAAUGUUUUCUCGCCUUUCAUUUGCUUCUUUUUUAUGGAAGUUUUAUUUUCCCAUAGUGUAUCCUAAAUUUUGGCCUAAUUCUUCUUCUGAUGAUCGAUUCAACCUUUGAUUAAGAAGGUUCAACCUUUGAUCAAGAAAAUAUACCUUGGUUAUAUUUCAUCUCUUCAAGAAGUUUAGUAAUGAGCAUAACGGCUUCCGAUGAAGAGAAAAACUUAUGAUUAGCUUUUCAGGAAAUCUUCAAAUGAACAAUUUCAACGAAAUUUUUCAAUUUACGAAAUCUGUUUUGAUAGAAUUUUGCCUGCAAAAUUUUCUGGAGAGGUUUUUUGGAGGCUCAUUGUUAUUUAUGUAUUACAUUGGAGCUUUGCGAAAGUUGUCUCCUCAACAAGCUUCACAUGAAAAUACAUUUUUGUGACUGGCUUAUUUUUA